AGAAUAGUGUCUGGGGUUCCGUUCUUAGACCCCACUGCUCAGCAGAGGAAGCUGACCCAGAUGGGGGUCCAGGGCCACCCCUACUGGUCCUCAGCACUGAUGGAAAAAAUGAGGGCGAGGGGCUGUUUCUAAAGAUCGCAUGUACGGACAGGACUGGCUGAGGCCCACAGACGGAGACUAGGAUCCCUGGAUGUCAGCAGCUGAUGGAAGUGUGGGGCCUCUGGCACAGGCCCACUGCAGGCGCCAGGAAAGUUGAGGCUCUAGACACCAGGUCAGAAUGCACUGCAGACAGGGGAGCGCAGCCUCGGAGGUUCGGAGCCAGAGAGAGGGGCCCCUGGGGGCCAGUUCACCUCACCCUGUCCCCCAAGGACCCAUUCCACAGAUGGAAAAACUGAGGCCCGGGGAGGGUGGGACCCAGCCAGAGCUGUGACUUCAACAUCUCCUUCCUAUCGUGCCUAAUUGGUGUCACUGGGCCCCCAGUAGGGAAACAGAGGUCAUAAGAGGGGACCCAGUCGUGAGGGGCUUUGACUGGACCCCACACCCAUCUGACCCCCCCCAUGGAAGCAGCAGCCCCAGCAGGGCCCCUUGGAGAGCCACAGGGGAGGCCCUGGCCCUUCUCACAGGGCAGGAGGGCUGCGUCAUUCUCUUCAUUUUCUAGCAAGGGAAACAGUCCACAGAACAUCGGGACCUGGUUUCUCAGCCCCGAGAGUGAGACACUCAAGGAGAAAGGAAGACAGAAGAAAAACAUCGGUCCCACCUCCCUACUCUUGCCUGGGUUGUGCUAGGCUUCUUGAAUGGGGUAAUAUCCCUUCCUGGCUUAUGACCCCCAUUAUCUGCCCAGUUCUCAAAAGGCUGCAUUAGCUGUUAGAGUCAAACUGUUGUUCUCAAAUGUCUCCCAUCUUGAACAAUUCGGUUCUUGACCAAGUUC
This is a long non-coding RNA of Phyllostomus discolor (pale spear-nosed bat), 928 nucleotides long. RefSeq lists it as uncharacterized. The record is from RefSeq and is a predicted model, not a curated record. NCBI's taxonomy places the organism in Eukaryota, Metazoa, Chordata, Mammalia, Chiroptera, Phyllostomidae. The transcript has 3 exons.